GCCCCCCUGGUGGAAUUGGUAUACACGGCAGGUUGAGGGCCUGUGCCCGUAAGGGCGUGGGAGUUCGAGUCUCCCGGGGGGCA
This 83-nucleotide transfer RNA is filed under the name Chloroflexi bacterium RBG_16_57_9. Its description in RNAcentral is "tRNA-Leu". Lineage: Bacteria; Bacillati; Chloroflexota. The record is from RNAcentral.